UUCCUACGGGGGGCAGCAGUGAGGAAUAUUGGUCAAUGGGCGGGAGCCUGAACCAGCCAAGUCGCGUGAGGGAAGACGGUCCUACGGAUUGUAAACCUCUUUUGCCGGGGAGCAACGGGGUCCUUGCGAGGUCCCAAUGAGAGUACCCGGAGAAAAAGCAUCGGCUAACUCCGUGCCAGCAGCCGCGGUAAUACGGAGGAUGCGAGCGUUAUCCGGAUUUAUUGGGUUUAAAGGGUGCGCAGGCGGAUUUUUAAGUCAGCGGUCAAAUCGUGGGGCUCAACCCCAUCCAGCCGUUGAAACUGGGG
Molecule: ribosomal RNA, 305 nt
Filed under: uncultured bacterium
Lineage: Bacteria
Description: bacterial SSU rRNA
Rfam family: Bacterial small subunit ribosomal RNA
Source: RNAcentral